RNAcentral lists this ribosomal RNA (278 nucleotides) under uncultured bacterium. RNAcentral's name for it is "partial 16S ribosomal RNA". It matches the Rfam family "Bacterial small subunit ribosomal RNA", at positions 29 to 329 of the family's 1533-position model. The record is from RNAcentral.
AGCGAACGCUGGCGGCAGGCUUAACACAUGCAAGUCGAGCGCCCGUAGCAAUACGGGAGCGGCAGACGGGUGAGUAACACGUGGGAACAUGCCCUUUGGUUCGGGAAUAACUCAGGGAAACUUGAGCUAAUACCGGAUAAGCCCUUACGGGGAAAGAUUUAUCGCCAAAGGAUUGGCCCGCGUCUGAUUAGCUAGUUGGGUGGGGGUAAUGGCCCACCCAAGGCUACGAUCAGUAGCUGUUCGAGAGGAUGAUCAGCCACAUUGGGACUGAGACACGG